RNAcentral lists this long non-coding RNA (3717 nucleotides) under Brassica rapa (field mustard). RNAcentral describes it as "long non-coding RNA (BRAP_LNC000742)". Lineage: Eukaryota; Viridiplantae; Streptophyta; Magnoliopsida; Brassicales; Brassicaceae. The record is from RNAcentral.
AGAGAUGGCUGUGUUGGUGGCAGCUGCAGCGGUCGAAUUAGAGACUAAGGUUGGUGUAUUGUCGACGGUUAUUGUGGACGAAGAGUGGUCCUGUGUGGUCCUGGUUGAUUCGUUUUGGCGUCUGCGUUUGUAUUGGAGGAGAGGUAAUGGAGCUUCUUUGUUGAGAAUACAUACAGGAGGAGGAGGAGGAGGAAGACGCUCAUCUUCUUCUGUUUCCUCACGUUUGAGUGCCUCCUCAAUUUCAUCAUUACGGUUACUGUUGUUAUUCUCUUGAUGGUUAAGUUCGAUAUCCAUUUGGGUUGUAGUCUCUCUUGGUGGCUCGUUGAUGUUAAUGAGGUCCUUGCUUUCUGGCUGUAUUUCCUACAAGUAAAAUAUUGAAAUAGUAGAGUGAUUGUUCAAUAGAGUAGUCCAGUUCAAAAAAAAAAAAAAACUGAGUUAGUCCAUUGAAGCUACUUAAGAGAUUGGUUUCAACACAGAGCUUUUUGCAUAUAACAAAAAAAAUAAAAUGAAACUGAAGGUUAUGAAGGAAGUACAAACCUGGUUCAUAUGGUUGUUUCCAUUGGCUAGUGGUAAUGGCUCUGCUCUGACCCUAACGUCUACUCCUGGAAUCAGAGCUACUCUAUCAUCAGACCAUUCCUCUUCCAUGAAUGGCGCGUAUCGGUUCCCACUUGGAGGCCCAAUGUUAUUCUUGUGAAAGAUUCUACACAACACAUAUGCAUCUUGCUACACACUCAAAACAAAGAAUUGAGUUAAGAUAAGAAGUUAACUUAAGGAUUCUUUGGUUAGUAUUAGAUAAACCAAUAAGUAAGUUUUACCACCAAGUUUCCAUUGCUUUCAGUUUCGUAGUCCACGAGGCGAUACUCGUGCAUGACCCAAUUGGUGCGGAGCCCGUCAGGGGCACGACCGCUGUGGAAAACGAGAGUCUUUUUCAUACCGAGGAUCUGAACGUCACGGCGGAUCUCCCUGUCUUUGCCGGUCGCUUUCCAGUAGCCUUUGUUAGUGGCUCGGUUCAUCCUAGCGCCGUUACCGUACUUCUUGUCUAACGCGCUGUAGAAGUACCAUUCCUGGUCCCUUGUCUUUAACCUCGAGAACACUAGAAAACACACACACAACACCGCAGAAUUAAAAAAAAAAAAUUCAAACUUGAGAUAUUCAGACAAGAAAAAAAACAACUCCUGAAACACAAGCAAACUAAUUGGGAUAUUCAAACUUGAGAUAUUCAGACAAGUAAAAAACAAACUCUAUGUCCUGAAACACAAGCAAACUAAUUGGGAAAACACAAAUUAACAAGGAAUCUGAAAAUACACCAAACUAAACUCAAAAAUUCAGAUAACUAAACACAGAUGAACAAACUUCAUUCCCUGAAACACAAGCAAAGAUGCCCAAAAAAUACUAGAUUUUACACAAUUAAAUAAUUCGAUUUAUGUCACACUUUUACAGCCUAAACUUAGCAAAAAUUAAAUCUUCAACGAAAAUUACCGAAACCCAUAAAGCUAAACUCUUUACCCAGAAUUGAGUCAAGAGACCAAACCGCAAACUCAGCCCAAAUCAAAAUCAAGAAACUCACAGAGAAACCAAAUCCAAACAGAUACUCAAAAAAAAAAAAAAAAAAACAAAAAGAGAGAGAGAACCUGCUAAGUCCCAAGGCUCGUGCUUGUAGAUAUCAACUUCCCCAAUCGCAUCGAACCGCACAGGCUUCCCCAGAACCUUUCUCUUCAAGUAAUAGCUCACAAGCUCCUCGUCAGUAGGAUGAAAUCGAAACCCAGGAGCAAGCGAAGUCGCCGACACAGCGGCACCCGGAGCAGUCGCAGACGGCGGCGAGGACUCAACAACAGCCAUAGAUUCGCGACCCAUUAAAAGAAAAGACAGAACUCUGUUUCUAGGGUUCCUCUCUUUCCCCCAAACAGACAAGGGAAGUUGGGAAAGUGGGUUAUCGAUUAGACGGAGAAGAGAGAGAGAGAGAUGCCCCCAAAGAUUAAAAGGUACCUUCAAUUGCAAGAAAUUUUUUUUUUUUUCUUUUUCUGCGUUUCCAAGAAACAAGUUAUUUCAUUUUAUUCCCCAUUUCUUUUUUUUUUCUUUCGUUUCAGUAAUAAACCCUAGCUUCACUGAGUAGGUUUUUUUGUCGUAUUAUGUAGUAAAAUAAUUAAAACGCUGUCGUAGUGAUCUCAAAAGUAAAUUUUUUUUUUUUAAACUGUAAAGAUGAAAAACCAAAAGAACAAACCUACACUACACAUACAAACAAGGUACGAUCAUUCUACUGGGACACACAAACUCAUAAAUGAUGGAGACAUUUAAUUAUGAAAGGUUCCGUAUAACAUAUCGACAUAGUCCAAAAAUCGAAAAUCUUCCCAAUUUGAAUAAGAUAUACGAAUCUCAUGCAUUGAUUACCUUUCCAAAUACGUACAUCUGGAUAGAAAAUGUGUUCGGAUUUUAUGAUAAAAGUCUUCUUUGAAACUUGAUAAACAAGAAAUUAGACCGUAAAAAAGUUAAAAGACAUUAAGAUAAGAGUAGAUUAACACUAGUUUCAUGCCCGAGAAGAAUACACGUGGAAUUUUUAGUCCGAAUAUGGUUGGUUAUUUGGAUUAUUUGCAGAUGAAAAAGAAAAAGAUCAUUAAUCGGUUUAAGAAAAUUAAGAUAAAGUAUAAUACUUUUUUUUUUUGUUCAAAAAAGUAUAAUACCCUUUUGAAAAUCGAAUCCAGGGUAAAUUCGUACCUAAUCCCUUUUUGUCUUUUUUUUUAAAAUAAUUGCAAAUUACGUGUAACGAAAGUCUUCAAACGUCGUUGACGGAACGAACCACAUUCGUUCAUCGUAACGCUAACCAAUUAAAAAUGACCUUUAUACCCUCAAUGUUAUCACUAAUUAACGAGGUUAAGCUUUCUCUUCCCACUUCUCGAGGAAGACAAAGUAGUUUCUUGUCUGGAAGACCAGAUGAAGCACUUAAUCAUAUAGAUUGAACAUUCCUUGAAACAGAUUACAGAGAGUUCUUAACUGAAUAGACUUAGAUGAUAAUAUAUGACAAUGGAGCAACCUGAGAAUGUUCUCAAAAGAUGUAGAACCCAUCAGAAAAAAAAAACCAAACCGGUCCCGGUUUAUCCUAAUUUUACACGGUUCUCAAUCCGUCUGAAGAAGCUACAUAGAUAGCUCACAAUAUUUUAGGGAGAUUACAGCUAAAAAAAGCAAAGAAGACACCUGGAGAGAUGGGGUUUUUAGAGCAUUUAGUGUCCAUUAGCGUUGUUCUUCUUGAGCUCAUCGUUCUCCUGACGCAGAGCAUCGAUCCUGGACUGGAGAAUACUGAUCAUAGCCUCUGCACUCAUCAUCUCAAGCUUGAAUGUCUCUCUCUCAACAGACAUCUGGUGAACCUCCUUCUGGAGAUCAUCCACCUUCUCUUCAGGAGAUGGAAGUGGAGUAAGAGGAGGUUGAUGGUUUUCUUUCUUCUCGGAGAUGCCCAUGAGUGAGAACUCGAGCAACGCAGAGAUGGCCGUGUUGGUGGCCACAGCAGCGGUUGGUGUGUUGUCGACGGUUGUUGUUGUGGACGAGCAGUGGUCCUGUGUGAUCCUGCUUGAUUCGUUUUGUCGUCUGCGUUUGUAUUGGAGGAGAGGUAACGGAGCUUCUUUGUUGAGAAUGCAUAAAGGAGGAGGAGGACGCUCAUGAUCUUCAUCUGCCUCCUCACGUUUGAGUGCUUCCUCUUCUUCUUCAUCACAAUGGUUAUUCUUAUGG